GCGAACGGGUGAGUAAUACAUAAAUAAUCUACCAUAAUGACUGGGAUAACCAAUGGAAACGCUGGCUAAUACCGGAUAGGUAAAACGAGGGCAUCUUUGUUUUAUUAAAGUAGGACUACUACACAAUAUGAUGAGUUUAUGGCGCAUUAGCUAGUUGGUGAGGUAACGGCUCACCAAGGCGAUGAUGCGUAGCCGACCUGAGAGGGUGACCGGCCACACUGGGACUGAGACACGGCCCAGACUCCUACGGGAGGCAGCAGUAGGGAAUUUUCGGCAAUGGGCGCAAGCCUGACCGAGCAACGCCGCGUGAGCGAAGAAGGCCUUCGGGUUGUAAAGCUCUGUUGUAAGGGAAGAACACUUUUUAGAGGAAAUGCUAGAGAGCUGACGGUACCUUACCAGAAAGCCACGGCUAACUACGUGCCAGCAGCCGCGGUAAUACGUAGGUGGCGAGCGUUAUCCGGAAUUAUUGGGCGUAAAGGGUGCGUAGGCGGUUUAUUAAGUCUGUGGUGAAAGUGCGGGGCUCAACCCCGUAUGGCCACAGAAACUGAUAGACUAGAGUACAGGAGAGGGCAGUGGAAUUCCAUGUGUAGCGGUAAAAUGCGUAGAUAUAUGGAGGAACACCGGUGGCGAAGGCGGCUGCCUGGCCUGUAACUGACGCUGAGGCACGAAAGCGUGGGGAGCAAAUAGGAUUAGAUACCCUAGUAGUCCACGCUGUAAACGAUGAUUACUAAGUGUUGGAGAAAUUCAGUGCUNNNGUUAACGCAAUAAGUAAU
RNAcentral lists this ribosomal RNA (773 nucleotides) under uncultured bacterium. RNAcentral describes it as "bacterial SSU rRNA". It matches the Rfam family "Bacterial small subunit ribosomal RNA", at positions 98 to 868 of the family's 1533-position model. The record is from RNAcentral.